Molecule: long non-coding RNA, 3209 nt
Organism: Drosophila mojavensis
Lineage: Eukaryota; Metazoa; Arthropoda; Insecta; Diptera; Drosophilidae
Exons: 3
Source: RefSeq, a predicted model, not a curated record
UAGCGACAAGGAUGAGGCCUGCUGCGAUAUGACCGGAGCCUGAUUGCCAUUGGGCGCCACACUAUCCAGCGAUAGUGAGCGGCUCAGCGUCGGACUCACUUUUAUUGCACUCCUUGUUGAUGAGACCCACAUAUAAAGGACUGUAGCCAGGAUGGAGCAGCGCAAACGUGGAGGCCUCUGGUCCGAUGCCUCUGGCCUUCUCCCACUCGUAAAGCUUACGUGUAAAUUUGCGAGAGAUGCCCUCGAAUUUUCUCACCUCGCCAUCUGAGGUCUUCACCUCAAUAUUCUUAGAUGUAUGAUCCGGUGCCACGAUAGCUUUAAGGCGUGCCAAUCUGCGACGAUCAUCAUCAGAGCCUCGCCGGCUGGACUGAUUGUGCUUGGAGCUGCGCUUGAGAGAAUCAUUGUCGGAGUUGGUGCCACCGACGGGCGUACACUUCAAGCGGUUCCAUUGCUCUGAGGAUAAAUAUUUUGGAUAACCAAAUAUCUCAAUCGCACAGCUCACUGUGGACUCACCCAGCUUUUUUUGAAACUUUUCAGGUAAAUCCUUUUGGUCUGGCAGCGCGCACAGGCCCUGACCCUCAAGCUUCAAUGCACCCGAGCUCCAAAGAUUCCAGUCGAUUUUUGGCUUUAUAUCGCCGCCACUUAGACUUUUGGCUGUGGGACUCGCCGCUGUCUCGGAGGUGGCAUAGCAAUUGGAGCUCUGCUGCUUGGCCCGCCAUUUGUGAAGCUUCUUCUUGAACUGCGGCGUCAAAUUCUGCUCGAGCUGUUCGGUGGACAUAAGAUCACUGUGCAGCAGCUGCGUGGGUGAAUGCUCCUCGCUGCUGCGCUUGCCGCUGCCACUGACGCUGCCUGGGCCACCACUGCUGAGCUUGACGCCUGGAAUAGAAUCGGGAUUAGGCGUGGUCGGUGGAUUACCUGAAUGUCUAUCGUGUGGCUUACUGCGAUUGCUCGCGCUGGCUCGCUUUAGUUCGCAUUGCUUGUGCUUGAACUCCAUAUCUAGUUUGAGUAGUAGAAGUUGAUAAUGUUGAAAUACUUCAUCUUCGUUCUGUGUGAAAGUCUUACAGUUUGGCGUCGUGGGCUCCGAGGAAACUCCACUUGAUAGCUCCUCGCUCUCUGUAAAGCCAGACGUUAAUGGAAACCGCUAAUAUGGUAGCCACCAAACAGCUCACCCACCAAAUUCACCAAAGAAAUCCGAAUGCCUGGAUGGACUGCUCGGCACCGAAGAGUUUCCCGGCGAGUUCACUUGACGCAUACGUGAUCCAUCCUUUGGACUCUUGAGCGGAGAAUGCAGCUGCGGCAGAUCACUGCACACCUGAUUGAGAUUUAAAGGACUGGGCGGCAGCUUGUUCCGGCGACUGGUCGUCGCCUUAAUGUCCGCCACAUGAUCCUCGGGCAGCACCUCAAAGUCCGAGAAGGCUCGCGAGCGACGUAGAGACUUAUUCGAUGAUGAUUUGCUUGGCAGCGAGCACUUGGCCGUAUCCAAGCGCUCAUCCGUGGCCGACUUACGCAGCUCCACUUCAUAGCUGGAGGGCCGCGAGUCACCCUUCGCUGAAUGUCGCCCUAUAAUCAGAGUGAAAGCUGCACCAAAUAAAUAAAUCAAAGCAGUUCGAGAAGGGAUUUACGCAUUGGCUGGCGACUGCCCGCAUCCAUUUGCAGCUCAUCCAAGGAGCUGGCCGAGCUGAUGGUACCAGGUGUGCCGCCCGUUUCGCUCAAAAAGUGACCCGACGAGGAGCUGAUGAUGCUGUCCGCGGAGCUGCUGCCGCCUGCGCCGCUUAUUGGCACCUUUAAAUAUCUAGAAGAGAUUAUGGACUUAGCAUCGAUUAUAUUUUAGAACAGAAUUAUCUGAAAUACCUUUCUACUUCUAGAUUAAGCGGCAUCAAUGUAUUGGAAUCGUGAGCAGCUGUGGGCGGCACAUUGGCCCGCUCCCACUUGAAAGCCGCCUUCACCUUUGUCCACUUGGACACCUUGGACUUGUUGUCGCUGUAGGUGCUCUGCCGGCGCAGCAAAUAUGGCCUAGAGGAGUUCUUCAUCUGCCGGUCGCCCUUUAAAUACAUGUUUAUCUCUUCCUCCAUCAUGGACUUACUGCGCUCGCGUAUUCUGUGGUGUGGAUAUCAGACUUAUCCCAGCGUGGAAUAUCGUAUUUCAAUAUGUACAUACCGCUUGAAUUUGCCAUGCUUUGUGGGAGGCACCACCUCGGUGCCCAAUAGGGAUUCCAGCCAGGUCAACGAGUGCUCCAACUCGAAUUCGGUGUCGGCGGUGGGUGUGGAUGUGGCUGGAGCUUGUGCAGCAGCAGGAGCACUGGCUGCAGUCAGAGUUGAGGUUGAAGUUGAAGUUGAAGCAGCAUUGAGGGCUAUCAUAUCCGACUCCAUUCCGGCUGCCGACUCCUCGUCAUUGUCCGUGAUGGUGGCAAGUUUCUGCUCCAACAGGCCCUCAAGCAUUGCACAUGUGCGAGUUAGUUGAUCCAUGGCCUCAAUGGCAGUGUUGAGCCGAUUCUUGAGCGGCUCAAUCGUGCCACGAUCCGCUCGGUAGGGCUGACAGAAGUGACAACUAUGCUUUCCAUGCUCGCACACGGGCAAAUCCUUCUCCUCGCGCAGCUUGGGCGAAGCAGAGAGAUUGCGUGCCCGCGAGGCCACAGCUGGAAACUGGAAGAUGUUCUCAUCGGUCCGUCCGCACAUGGCAGGCGGAGCCGUGGGCAGGGAUUCAUAGUGCAUGGCACUGAUUCUAUGUCGUGUCCGACGAGGCUUUGGCGGUGGUGCUCCUUCCAUUGCAAGUUGAGAAACCAGCGCAAGUCCACUUCGGUUUACAUAAAUAUAUAUAUAUGUAUGUGUGCGCGUGUGUAGGUAUGAGUGUCCAGCUAUGUGUGCCUAUGCGCGUACUGAAAUGCUCAAUUGGCUUCUGUUUGUUUACUCGGAGAGAUACGCCACUAGAAAUACACGCAAGACAAGAAUAUCCCACGAAUUAUCGAAAUCAAAAAUUUGUUUAUAAAAGAGGAAGACAAAUGUGGAACGUCCGCCACACACACAAUAACCCAAAACACAAGCACACAGACACACACACAGUCCACCCUCUUAUAAAUAUGUAUGUAUAUGUAUGUGUUUGUAUAUAAAUUGGCAGACUUGUGUAUACGUAUCGUAUAUGGGGUAAUUUGAAAUGCCUCAAAGUGUAACGCUUAAAAUACAUGAAAUAAACAAUAAAUUUGAAAAACGAAA